GGUUGUCACGCAUGACCUGCGAAAGGAAGAUAAUGUCAAUAUAUGAAUGAAAAAUUGAUCUUUCAAUAAAGCCGCCUCUUACAAUGAAAUCAAGGCGGCGAUACCUUCUUCGUAGUAUCCACUUACGAGAAUUUGGUAUUUCGUCAAGAUUUUAUUAGUAAGAGGUGAUUUCAUUAAAAGAUCGAUCCGCGACUAUCAAUCGAAUGCCCACUUUGUUCCAAAAGUUUCAUACACAAAUGGGGCAUCGAUUUUGAAAAAUUAAUUUGUGGUUUCACUCAUGCAAAGGUGAGGUGAUUUUUAUUUUGAAAAAUCAAUAUACAAAAUGGGAUUUGAAUUUUAAUUUUGAAAUGUGACCAAUAAAGAGUUUUAUUGAAAAUUCGAUUUUAAUUCUAUGCCCCAAAAUGUG
RNAcentral lists this long non-coding RNA (406 nucleotides) under Eucalyptus grandis. Its description in RNAcentral is "long non-coding RNA (EGRA_LNC005948)". The record is from RNAcentral. Lineage: Eukaryota; Viridiplantae; Streptophyta; Magnoliopsida; Myrtales; Myrtaceae.